Molecule: long non-coding RNA, 825 nt
Filed under: Salmo salar (Atlantic salmon)
Lineage: Eukaryota; Metazoa; Chordata; Actinopteri; Salmoniformes; Salmonidae
Description: lncRNA (ENSSSAG00000121225.1)
Source: RNAcentral
AUAGAUAUGGCUGUAGAUGGGUAGGAGAGGAGAGGGAUAGAUAUGGCUGUAGAUGGGUAGGAGAGGAGAGGGAUAGAUAUGGCUGUAGAUGGGUAGGAGAGGGAUAGAUAUGGCUGUAGAUGGUUAGGAGAGGGAUAGAUAUGGCUGUAGAUGGGUAGGGGAGGAGAGGGAUAGAUAUGGCUGUAGAUGGGUAGGGGAGGACAGGGAUAGAUAUGGCUGUAGAUGGGUAGGAGAGGGAUAGAUAUGGCUGUAGAUGGGUAGGAGAGGGAUAGAUAUGGCUGUAGAUGGGUAGGAGAGGGAUAGAUAUGGCUGUAGAUGGGUAGGGUAGGAGAGGGAUAGAUAUGGCUGUAGAUGGGUAAGGGAGGAGAGGGAUAGAUGUGGCUGUAGAUGGGUAGGAGAGGGAUAGAUAUGGCUGUAGAUGGGUAGGAGAGGGAUAGAUAUGGCUGUAGAUGGGUAGGGUAGGAGAGGGAUAGAUAUGGCUGUAGAUGGGUAGGAGAGGAGAGGGAUAGAUAUGGCUGUAGAUGGGUAGGAGAGGAGAGGGAUAGAUAUGGCUGUAGAUGGGUAGGAGAGGAGAGGGAUAGAUAUGGCUGUAGAUGGGUAGGAGAGGGAUAGAUAUGGCUGUAGAUGGGUAGGAGAGGAGAGGGAUAGAUAUGGCUGUAGAUGGGUAGGGGCGGAGAGGGAUAGAUAUGGCUGUAGAUGGGUAGGACAGGAGAGGGAUAGAUAUGGCUGUAGAUGGGUAGGGGAGCAGAGGGAUAGAUAUGGCUGUUGAUGGGUAUGAGAGGGAUAGAUAUGGCUGUAGAUGGGGGUGAGAGGGAUAGAUAUGAC